UAGAGAGAGACAUGCGCGCAUAUCAAUAAGCGGAGGAAAAGAAACUAACAAGGAUUCCCUUAGUAACGGCGAGUGAAGCGGGAAGAGCUCAAAUUUGAAAUCUUCAAGGUUUUACCUUGACGAAUUGUAGUUUAAAGAAGUGUUUUCUGCUGAAGUUUUGGUAAAAGUUCUUUGGAAUAGGACAUCAUAGAGGGUGAGAAUCCCGUAUUUGACCAUUAUUUUCAGCUUUGUGAUACACUUUCAAAGAGUCGGAUUGUUUGGGAAUGCAGUCCAAAAUGGGUGGUAAAUUUCAUCUAAAGCUAAAUAUUGGCGAGAGACCGAUAGCGAACAAGUACCGUGAGGGAAAGAUGAAAAGAACUUUGAAAAGAGAGUUAAACAGUACGUGAAAUUGUCAAAAGGGAAGCGUUUGACACCAGUGUUGUUUUCUCGAAAAUCAAUUAAAAAUGGCUCGAUUUUGUAUUGCUGAGACCUUAAAAGCUCACUGUACAUUUUUCGUGUCUUUUUUAAUGCACUUUUCGUUUAACAAGUCAACAUCAGUUUCUUUUGUUGUAAAAGGGUCAUUGGAAGGUGGCUUUCUUUUCGGAGAAAGUGUUUAUAGCCUUUGGCCUCUGCAAUCGAAGAGACUGAGGUCUGCAGCGUAGACUCUUCGGGGUUAGAUACAUUUGUGCUAAGUUAUAGCUUUUUAUAGACAACUUGUUGACUAUAAUUAGUCUUGUAGCUUACUCGUUAUGCUAUUUUACCUACGCUUAGGAUGUUGAAGAUGUAGCACAUCAU
This 774-nucleotide ribosomal RNA is filed under the name uncultured Neocallimastigales. RNAcentral describes it as "partial large subunit ribosomal RNA". It matches the Rfam family "Eukaryotic large subunit ribosomal RNA", at positions 23 to 634 of the family's 3401-position model. The record is from RNAcentral. Lineage: Eukaryota; Fungi; Neocallimastigomycota; Neocallimastigomycetes; Neocallimastigales.